Molecule: non-coding RNA, 293 nt
Organism: Nomascus leucogenys (northern white-cheeked gibbon)
Lineage: Eukaryota; Metazoa; Chordata; Mammalia; Primates; Hylobatidae
Rfam family: Metazoan signal recognition particle RNA
About the family: The signal recognition particle (SRP) is a universally conserved ribonucleoprotein.
Source: Rfam
GCAUGGCACACACAUAUAGUCCCAGCUACUCUGGAUCCUGAGGCAGGAGGAUCACUUGAGUCCAGGAGUUCUGGGCUAUAGUGCACUAUGAUGAUCAGGUGUCCACACUAAGUUUGGUAACAAUAUCGUGUCCCCCUGGGAGCAUGAGACCACCAGGUUGCCUAAGGAGGGGGGAACCAGCCCAGUUCAGAAGCAGAAAAGGUCAAAACUCCCGUGGUGAUCAUUAAUGGGAUUAAGCCUGUGAAUAGCCGCUGCACUCCAGCCUGGGCAACACAGCUGAGACCCUGCCUCUA